This 4930-nucleotide long non-coding RNA is filed under the name Xyrichtys novacula (pearly razorfish). The record is from RNAcentral. Lineage: Eukaryota; Metazoa; Chordata; Actinopteri; Labriformes; Labridae.
UUCGGAAAAUUGUCUGAAUCCUCCUUUGGCCACGACUGCCGACACAAGCAAGAAAACAAAGUAAAUACCGGAGACUCUGGAGGAAUAACGGGCGCUUAAAACGGAGGUAGACCGGACAAGAGCUAAAAAGCCGGGUCAACAUAAACGAUGGGGGACGCUUGGGGAUCUUCGUGACCCUGUAACCUUUCUGCUGGACAGGUAAACCGCUUUAACAAAGUAAGACAAGUGUCUGUAACAGAAGUGUUUCUUGUCAAACGGACCUGCUGUAGCGUGUUGUAGCGCCAUCGCUAAACUGUCCUCCCUCGGGUCCUGGACUAUGUCACUUUAUCCUCGUUGUAGAAGUCCUGCAAACAUUGUGUUUGCUGGUAGUCUGUUGGCAUCUACAGUAGCACCAAUGCUUUUGACUUUCACCUUGACUGGGCCCCAUUUGUAAUGAUCUGAAGUAUUUAUCUGCAUUAUAUCUGAAUUUAACUGGAACGAUACGAGCGAGCAGGAGCGUCUGUUUGUGGGCGGGGCUUGAGAGAGAGAGAGAGAGAGAGAGAGAGAGAGAGAGAGAGAGAGAGAGAGAGAGAGAGAGAGAGAGAGAGAGUGUUUCUCUGUGUUGUCCCUUUAACUCUGUGGCUCUAAAACAGUUGAAGUGUGUUUCUGCUCGAUGAGGUUUCUAUGAGGUGAAUAAAUGUUGGUUCAGUUGAUCUUCAGGACGGCUGCAGCUUUAAGAACUUCUGCUUGUUGGAGUUUGAGAGUCUAAAGUUCACAGAGACGCUCCUCCUCCUGGAUUGUAGACAAACUGGAUCCCCCCCUCCCUCGUCUCUCUCAGCUCACUCCACUCUGCACUCUCACUUCCUUGUUCCCUCCCCUUCCAUCCUCCCUCCCCCUUCAGAUCUACAGUCUUGGUUGGCUGUAACCUCCGUGUGCUGAGGUCAUAUCCUGUUGACUCACUCAUGUUGUUGAGAUCAGAGCUCAGACUAGUUUCACUUCUCAGGAAAUAAAACUCAGUCAGUCAGUCGUCGACAGCGAGUGUUGAAAUGGCGCAGAAAGGAGUUCAUCUGGACCGUGAGUCUUUCUCUUGUUCCAUCUGUUUGGAUCUUCUGAAGGAUCCGGUGACUGUCUCCUGUGGACACAGCUUCUGCAUGAGCUGUAUUCAAUCCCACUGGGAUACUGAGGUUGAGAGGAUGAUCUACAGCUGUCCUCAGUGCAGAGAGACCUUCAGACCGAGGCCUGUCCUGAAGAAAAACACCAUGUUAGCAGGUUUAGUGGAGGAAGUGAAGAAGAGCGGACUCCAAGCUGCUCCUGAUGGUUCCUCUGAGGCUGGACCUGAAGAUGUGGCCUGUGAUUUCUGCAGUGGGAGAAAACUGAAAGCUGUCAAGUCCUGUCUUCAAUGUCUGGUUUCUUACUGUCAGAUUCACCUCCAGCCUCAUUUUGAAUCUCCUUCAUUUAAGAAACACAAGCUGGUGGAGCCCUCCAAGACGCUCCAGGAGAACAUCUGCUCUCGUCAUGAUGAGGUGAUGAAGAUCUUCUGCCGCACUGAUCAGAAGUCCAUCUGUUACCUCUGCUCUGUGGAACAACACAAAGGUCACGACACAGUCUCAGCUGCAGCAGAAAGGACUGAGAGGCAGAAAGAUCUGGAGGAGAGUCGAGGAAACAUCCAGCAGAGAAUCCAGGACAGAGAAGAAGAUGUGAAGCUGCUCCAACAGGAGGUGGAGGCUAUCAACGGCUCUGCUGAUAAAGCUGUGGACCACAGCCAGAAGAUCUUCAGCCAGCUGAUCCGUCUGAUGGAGAAACGCCGCUCUGAGGUGGAGCAGCAGGUCAGAUCCCAGCAGGAACGUGAAGUGAGUCGAGUCAAAGAGCUUCAGGAGAAGAUGGAGCAGGAGAUCACUGAGCUGAAGAGGAAAGACGCUGAUCUGCAGAAGCUCUCACUCACAGAGGACCACAACCAGUUUCUGCACAGCUACCCCUCACUGUCAGAACCGGGUCAACCUGCAGACUCAUCCAGAAUCAACAUCCGUCCUCAGAGAUACUUUGAGGAGGUGACAGCAGCUGUGUCAGAGCUCAGAGAGAAACUCCAGGAUCUUCUGACAGAGACGUGGACAAACGUCUCACAGGCAGUGACUGAUGUGGAUGUUUUACUGUUAGAACCACCAGAACCAGCAGAACCCAAGACCAGAGCUGGUUUCUUAAGAUAUUCACAAAGAAUCACACUGGAUCCAAACACAGUAAACAGAGAGCUGAUAUUAUCUGAUGGAAACAGAAGAGCAACAAAGACAGAAGAAGAAGAAGAAGAAGAGUCUUAUCCUGAUCAUCCAGACAGAUUCACUGGUAGGAUUCAGGUCCUGAGUAGAGAGAGUCUGACUGGACGUUGUUACUGGGAGGUGGACUGGAGAGGGGACAGGGUUGAUGUAGCAGUCGUAUACAAGACUAUCAGGAGAGACGGAGACUCAGAGGAUUGUUUAUUUGGAUUCAAUGACAAAUCUUGGAGGUUAGACUGUUCUAAAUCUUGUUAUACAUUUUGGCACAACAAAGUCUUCACUCCUGUCUCAGGUCCUCGGUCCUCCAGAGUAGGAGUGUUCCUGGAUCACAGAGCAGGUAUUCUGUCCUUCUACAGCGUCUCUAAAACCAUGACUCUCCUCCACAGAGUCCAGACCACAUUCACUGAACCUCUACAUGCUGGACUGGGGUUAUGGUUUGAUGGAGCCUCUGCUGAGUUUAUAGAAGUGAACUAAAGAGAAUUUUGAGUCCAUCAGACCAAAAUCAUGGACUGAGAUCCUUGAACUCUUGAAAUGUUCUGGUUUGUAAAUGUUUGUGGAUCAGUCUCACCAAAAACUCUGGGUUUAGUUCUUCAUUUCAGCUUUUUGAUUCUUUUCUAAAGAUGCUGAUUUGGUCGCAGCUUUAAGGACAGUGAUUGUGGAGAACUUUGAUUGUUUGUAUUUCUCAUGUUGAAAAAUCUUCAUCCAGUUUGAUAUCAACAACAUCAAGAUGAUGGUUUGUUCAAAUCACCUUCAGUUGGUGCAGAUGUUGAAGGUCUGAGACUUUAGAAAAAAGUGAGGUCAAAAUCACAGAAAAAGGACGACCUUAUUUCCUGUCCCAAAUCCAAGCGUCUAAAGUCUUUCCAGUCGUCCCCAAAAACUCUUCAGAUGAUCUGUUUCUUUCUCUGUUUGCUGAAUAUUUGUGUUCAUGUGAUCGAUGGAUAUUUCUGUCUGCUUCUGUUGGAUCAGUGUGUUUGUAAAGACAUCUAGAAUCAGACUUUGGACAGAUCUACAUGUUGUUAUGAGCUUUUCAAUCACUCUAAUAAUAAUAAUCACAUUCAUUAGUCCGACUGUUUGGAUGUUUCUGACUCAGCUCAGAUUGUGGUCAAGUCUCUGAUUGUGGGUAAAAAAAUCAUAAAAAUCCUCAAACUGAGUCACUGAAAUCACCUCGUCUGUUUGUCUUUAUUGUGUUUGUUUCUGCUGGAUGUCAUGUUACCGCUCCGUCUGGGUCAUGGAUCCAUGUGGUCUUCCAUGUCCCAGAUGUGAGUCCUGCAGCUGGAUCAGGUUUUCUGUAGAGGACAAAGACAGGAGGCAGGUUGUGUGUCUUUUUGAUUUGAUGUAACCAGACUAGUCCUGUUGAGAUCAUCAAUCUCUUUUUCAGGGGGGGUCCUGACCAAGAAUGGCAGCAAAACACAAACACACUCAGACUCACACAGAUCCACAUCAGCAACAAGAACUCAGUGUUCAUAUGAGAGAGUCCAGCUGAUCUCUAGUCUAAGGACAGAAGUCUGGACCACGAGAAGAAAACCAACUUAAAGGUGAAGUAGACAGGAAUCUGUUAAAGAAGCAUCUUUUUAUUUUGUGGUUUUUAUACAAAAAUCUUCUAAUAUCAGUCAAUAGUUAUUGAUGACAUUUGGUAAUAUAACUAUAUCUCUCUGUUCGCCCGAACAAAGUUAGCGUGCUACAAUAUCGGACAGUAGAAACCAACCAGAAAGUUCGGAAAAUUGUCUGAAUCCUCCUUUGGCCACGACUGCCGACACAAGCAAGAAAACAAAGUAAAUACCGGAGACUCUGGAGGAAUAACGGGCGCUUAAAACGGAGGUAGACCGGACAAAACUGGUUUCCUGCUCCUGAAGGUUGUUCAGUUUCCCUCUCUUUGGUUCUGAUUUACUGAUGUGUUUUCUCUGAAAUAAACAACAACAGUUCGUCGGCCAUGUUGUAAAAUCCUCUCCUAACCUGACUCUCCUAAUCUGACUCUCUCUAACCUGACUCUCUCUAAUCUGACUCUCUCUAAUCUGACUCUCCUAACCUGACUCUCUCUAAUCUGACUCUCUAUAAUCUGACUCUCUAAUGUGACUCUCUCUAAUGUGACUCUCUCUAAUCUGACUCUCUAUAAUUUGACUCUCUCUAAUCUAUCUCUCCUAAUCUGACUCUCCUAAUCUGACUUGCUCUAAUCUGACUCGCUCUAAUCUGACUCUCCUAACCUGACUCUCCUAAUCUGACUCUCCUAACCCGACUCCCCUAAUCUGACUCUCUCUAACCUUACUCUCCUAAUCUGACUCUCCUAACCUGACUCCCCUAAUCUGACUCUCCUAACCUGACUCUCCUAAUCUGACUCUCUCUAACCUGACUCUCUCUAAUCUGACUCUCCUAACCUGACUCUCUCUAAUCUGACUCUCUAUAAUCUGACUCUCUCUAACCUGACUCUCCUAAUCUGACUCUCUAUAAUUUGACUCUCUCUAAUCUGACUCUCCUAAUCUGACUCUCUAUAAUCUGACUCUCUCUAACCUGACUCUCCUAAUCUGACUCCCCUAAUCUGACUCUCUCUAACCUGACUCUCCUAAUCUAACUCUCUUAACCUGACUCCCCUAAUCUGACUCUCUCUAACCUGACUCUCCUAAUCUGACUCUCUCUAACCUGACUCUCCUAACCUGACUCUCUCUAACCUGACUCUCCUAAUCUGACUC